This 743-nucleotide ribosomal RNA is filed under the name Pseudoalteromonas sp. NBF28. Its description in RNAcentral is "bacterial SSU rRNA". It matches the Rfam family "Bacterial small subunit ribosomal RNA", at positions 28 to 771 of the family's 1533-position model. The record is from RNAcentral. Lineage: Bacteria; Pseudomonadati; Pseudomonadota; Gammaproteobacteria; Alteromonadales; Pseudoalteromonadaceae.
GUAUGACGCUGGCGGCAGGCCUAACACAUGCAAGUCGAGCGGAAACGAGAAUAGCUUGCUAUUCGGCGUCGAGCGGCGGACGGGUGAGUAAUGCUUGGGAACAUGCCUUGAGGUGGGGGACAACCAUUGGAAACGAUGGCUAAUACCGCAUAAUGUCUACGGACCAAAGGGGGCUUAGGCUCUCGCCUUUAGAUUGGCCCAAGUGGGAUUAGCUAGUUGGUGAGGUAACGGCUCACCAAGGCGACGAUCCCUAGCUGGUUUGAGAGGAUGAUCAGCCACACUGGAACUGAGACACGGUCCAGACUCCUACGGGAGGCAGCAGUGGGGAAUAUUGCACAAUGGGCGCAAGCCUGAUGCAGCCAUGCCGCGUGUGUGAAGAAGGCCUUCGGGUUGUAAAGCACUUUCAGUCAGGAGGAAAGGUUAGUAGUUAAUACCUGCUAGCUGUGACGUUACUGACAGAAGAAGCACCGGCUAACUCCGUGCCAGCAGCCGCGGUAAUACGGAGGGUGCGAGCGUUAAUCGGAAUUACUGGGCGUAAAGCGUACGCAGGCGGUUUGUUAAGCGAGAUGUGAAAGCCCCGGGCUUAACCUGGGAACUGCAUUUCGAACUGGCAGACUAGAGUGUGAUAGAGGGUGGUAGAAUUUCAGGUGUAGCGGUGAAAUGCGUAGAGAUCUGAAGGAAUACCGAGGCGAAGGCAGCCACCUGGGCAACACUGACGCUCAUGACGAAAGCGUGGGACAACA